UACUUUGUUAUUGUGUUAAGAAGAAGUGAGUUGAUAACAGAAGUAAAAUAAAGAUUUGAAACUGGAAUUCACGAAUUUCAAGAUAACCACAAUGGAUUACUUAAUAACAGUCAAGACCUGUGAUCGAGCUGGAGCUGGAACAAAUUCUACAGUUUCUAUCAAACUUACUGGUAAGAAUGGUAAGGAAACUCGGUAUUUUAAGUUGGACAAAUUUCAAAUGAUUUCGAAGCAGGCGAUGAGGAUGAAUAUGAAGUAAAGCGAAAAGAUGUUGGUGAAAUUGUAAUGGUUUCCUUGAAUCUUCGCGGCUGUACGAUACUAUCUGCUUGGUUUUUGGCAAAAAUUACAAUAGAAAAAAAAGUAGUAGUCGGAGAGAAAUUUAUGCUUUUCCUUGUUAUCGAUGGA
Long non-coding RNA from Xenia sp. Carnegie-2017, 402 nucleotides. RefSeq lists it as uncharacterized. The record is from RefSeq and is a predicted model, not a curated record. NCBI's taxonomy places the organism in Eukaryota, Metazoa, Cnidaria, Anthozoa, Malacalcyonacea, Xeniidae. The transcript has 3 exons.